GACGAACGCUGGCGGCGUGCUUAACACAUGCAAGUCGAACGGAAAGGCCCCUUCGGGGGUACUCGAGUGGCGAACAGGUGAGUAACACGUGAGUAACCUGCCCUUGACUUCGGGAUAACUUCAGGAAACUGGGGCUAAUACCGGAUAGGAAUCCUUGCUGCAUGGUGGGGGUUGGAAAGCUUCGGCGGUUUUGGAUGGACUCGCGGCUUAUCAGCUUGUUGGUGGGGUAGUGGCUUACCAAGGCUUUGACGGGUAGCCGGCCUGAGAGGGCGACCGGCCACAUUGGGACUGAGAUACGGCCCAGACUCCUACGGGAGGCAGCAGUGGGGAAUAUUGCACAAUGGGCGGAAGCCUGAUGCAGCAACGCCGCGUGCGGGAUGACGGCAUUCGGGUUGUAAACCGCUUUCAGCAGGGGCGAAGCUUGUGGUGACGGUACCUGCAGAAGAAGCACCGGCUAACUACGUG
Molecule: ribosomal RNA, 465 nt
Filed under: uncultured bacterium
Lineage: Bacteria
Description: partial 16S ribosomal RNA
Rfam family: Bacterial small subunit ribosomal RNA
Source: RNAcentral